UUCUAUGUGCUGCUGUGACAUGAAGUGAAGAUCUCUGAUAAACUAAAGGAAAUUUGUAAGUUGUAUAGCUCAUACAGACAGAAAAAAAGCUUUAUAGUGCUACAGUUUAAAUGUAUAAUAUUUCAUUGUUUUUUUACCAUUAAUUCUGCUUGUGUUUGAUUUAGUGCAAUCAUUAAUGAAAUGUUUGAUUGUCCAGUAGUUUCUGUCAUGAUCAUUUGAUAACCCCACUUAUCUCCUCAUUUCUCUUUGGCUGUGCUGCUGUGACAUGAAGCGGAUUACUCUGAACGACUAAAGCAAAUGUCGAAGUACUGUGAACAAGAAUUGUGCAAGAUCUCUGAACGAUUAAAGCAAAUGUCUUUGACAAAGAAAGGGGAGAUCUCCGAACAAAAAACACGUGCUGAUGGCACAAAAGAAGAGACAACGAGAUCAGAGAUGGCGAAAGGUGAAAGUGAACAGUCCAUUAUUGUUGAAGAUACUGCUAUAAGUCAAGCGAUUGGAGGGCCACGUGGGGCUGAUGGGAGAAUCAGAGACAGACAGGGCAAGAGCCUUGUAGUCCGUAACACCGGUACUGAACAUACUGGAGUUUGUACACAUGAAUCAACAGGAAAAGGAGUGAAUGAAGAAACAUCUGUUAUUAGUGAAUGAGCAACAGAAGAAGAGUUCAGUUUAAUGGUAUAAACAUGCACAUAUUACAGUCUCCACUAUUAUUUUAUUGUUGUUCCGUCUCUUUAGUUUUAUUUUCUACUGGGAAACAGCAACCAGGGCCAGUGUUGCCACCUUUUAGAAAAACUGAUUAGUGCAAGUCAAUGCGCAGGUGUACAAACUAAUACACUAAUAACAAUAUAAAACACUACAAUCUGAUAAGCUGUUGAGUUAAUGAAUGUUAAUCACAUUAGAGC
This 899-nucleotide long non-coding RNA is filed under the name Sinocyclocheilus grahami. RNAcentral describes it as "lncRNA (ENSSGRG00000008849.1)". The record is from RNAcentral. Lineage: Eukaryota; Metazoa; Chordata; Actinopteri; Cypriniformes; Cyprinidae.